GCCAGCAGCCAUAUUACCCUGCAUCUCACAACUAGCAGUCCACUGAAGCUAAGCAGGUGUGAGCCUGGUCAGUACCUGGAGGGGAGACUCCUGGGAAAAGUUGAGGUUGCUGCUGGAU
Molecule: ribosomal RNA, 118 nt
Filed under: Lepisosteus oculatus (spotted gar)
Lineage: Eukaryota; Metazoa; Chordata; Actinopteri; Semionotiformes; Lepisosteidae
Source: RNAcentral